ACACCAUUACAUAGUACUCUAGCGUCAACAUAAAAAAUGAAGCUGUUUAACUUUGUGCUCAUUGGUCAGACUGGUUACAGGUAAGUUUUACAUGUUCUACCUGUGCUUGUCUUUAUUCUUCAUGGUCUAUGUUUGCUGUCUGCUGCCCAGGUAUGCUAUAUGUUUGUCUGUUCUAUUUUCACAGCUCCAAUGUUGACACACUGUCAGCUUUGUCUGACACCCUCAUUUCUUUCGGCACAAGCCCAAGCAGCUUGAUGGAGGAUGAGCCAGUGCUGGAAAAGGAAGAAGGAGGCUCAGUGAACAUUGACACAGGGAAUGGUGUUGAACAGGAGCCAACUCCAAAGCUCAGCAACUGUGAACCAAUAACAGACGAUCUCCUGUUCCUCAAUAAUGGUGGGACAGACCCAGCCAAGACCAGUGGCACUGUGGGUCUCCUGGUCAAUGACAUUGACACUGAUGACGUUAUAAUUACCACACAGACACGCAGCCUCAGCAUGGAGCGAGAGGAGGAGAAGCAGACAGAUGAGACAGCCAAAGAAACACAAAGCCUCACAGAGACAGCCACUAUCACCACCAAAACUGUGAUCAUUACUGACAAAAGUGAAGAGGAAAAUGCAGCUCCUCAGAGUUCACGUGUCAUUACCACAGUCACUGAAUCAAGCUCGGCUGAUCCGUUUGAUCCAUAUCCGAUAGGGACCACAUCCCCUAACAGCUCCUCUGACCUGCUCCAGCCUCUCUCAGAUAUUCCCAUCAACAGUGCUUCACUUAUUUCCAUAAAGAACGAAGAUCCAAGUCCAGAAAUAAACAUGAGCAGUAAAACAUUGGAGUCCCUUGCAGAUGACAUCAUUCCCAUCGAUACUGACACCAGAAGUCUCAGCAGUCACCGGUCAUGGGCACGCACAUGGGAAGUGAACCCACCUCAGCAGACAAACACAGACGAGAGCCGAGAAGCUGAACCAGAGGGCCAAGCUGAAGAUCAACAGACGGUGGUCAUGUUUGAGAGAAAGUCCAAAGAAAAUGAUUCCCCAUGGGACAGGUGGACGUCGCCCACUGUCUACACCAUCAAUACAGAAGAGGAGGAGGAAGAGAAAGAAGAAGAAAGGUAUCUCGACAAUAGCUGAGCUCAUUAAAUGCUUAUUAAAACACUCUUUUUCUACACUUUAGCAGAAUAUGAUAACAGCUCCUUAAAAUUCAGCUGCU
Molecule: long non-coding RNA, 1200 nt
Filed under: Sphaeramia orbicularis (orbiculate cardinalfish)
Lineage: Eukaryota; Metazoa; Chordata; Actinopteri; Kurtiformes; Apogonidae
Description: lncRNA (ENSSORG00005022256.1)
Source: RNAcentral